Danio rerio (zebrafish) is the source of this 931-nucleotide non-coding RNA. The record is from RefSeq and is a predicted model, not a curated record. NCBI's taxonomy places the organism in Eukaryota, Metazoa, Chordata, Actinopteri, Cypriniformes, Danionidae.
CCUCCUUUUCACGCACACACAAACACCAGCCCCAUUCAGCUCUUUCUAUUCGUCAAGCCACAAACUGCCCCAUGUUUGUGGCUCGAUGAAUUUUUGUAGCUGAAUAAAGAAGAGGAGCUUGGUGUUAAUGCCUUGGUGAAGAGGAGGAGCUUGGUGUUAGGUUGCUCGAUGAAGAGGAGGAGUUUGGUGUUAGGUUGCUCGAUGAAGAGGAGGAGUUUGGUGUUAGUAGCUGGAUGAAGAGAAGGAGCUUGGUGUAAUCUUCUUCAUGUCCCAGGAUCUUCUUCAGCUGUGCUGUUAUCUGGAUGGAAAGAGAAAAUGUGCAAUAUUAGUUUCAUGUAAGAUCAACAUUUCAACACAAAAACUGAAACAAGACUUCCGUAAGAAGACCAGUUUCAAUUUGGCCACUUCACAGAUUAACAGUUCAGCAAGUGACGAUUUGUGACAAACAUUUAAGUAGAAUAUUUUGUACAUUUCAGGAGUCAUGUCGGGGGUUUUGUUGUUAUUAAACUGACCUGAAUUUCAAUAUAGACUGUAUUUUUUCUUUUAAGGUUUUCUUCUCUUUGCUUGGCUUCAGGAUCAAGACCUGGAACCAGUUAUGGUGGAGGAUCUCUUCAAGAGGAAUCCGCUGUUGUGGAUCUCUUUGCAGACAGGAACAGAUCAUGUCGAUGCAUUCUGUGAAAUAAGCAAGAAUGUCUGCGCCAAGCUGGGGAUAAAAAGGAGCCGUUGUUCACCGGACCAUUCUCAAACAGGCUGGUAGAGAGGAUAAUUGGCACCAUGCAAUGGUAAUGUGUCUAUAGUUCACCUUGGCCUCAGCAGCGGGGGAGUUUGAGAUCGACCUGAGCUAAAUUUCCCCUCGCCCUGGGAAAGGGGGGAGCACUGGGCCCGAGGAUCUCUUGAGCUCCGGGCUCUCUCCCGGGACAGCAUGCUAAAC